AGAGUUUGAUCCUGGCUCAGAACGAACGCUGGCGGCAUGCCUAACACAUGCAAGUCGGACGCUUCAUGGCUUCGGUCAUGGGGAGUGGCGCACGGGUGAGUAGCGCGUGGGAACCUGCCUUUCAGUGGGGGAUAACCGAGGGAAACUUCGGCUAAUACCGCAUGCGCCCCGGAGUGAUCCGGGGAAAGAUUUAUCGCUGA
Molecule: ribosomal RNA, 200 nt
Filed under: uncultured bacterium
Lineage: Bacteria
Description: partial 16S ribosomal RNA
Rfam family: Bacterial small subunit ribosomal RNA
Source: RNAcentral